This 468-nucleotide ribosomal RNA is filed under the name uncultured bacterium. RNAcentral's name for it is "partial 16S ribosomal RNA". It matches the Rfam family "Bacterial small subunit ribosomal RNA", at positions 28 to 507 of the family's 1533-position model. The record is from RNAcentral.
GACGAACGCUGGCGGCGUGCUUAACACAUGCAAGUCGAACGGAAAGGCCCUGCUUUUGUGGGGUGCUCGAGUGGCGAACGGGUGAGUAACACGUGAGUAACCUGCCCUUGACUUUGGGAUAACUUCAGGAAACUGGGGCUAAUACCGGAUAGGAGCUCCUGCUGCAUGGUGGGGGUUGGAAAGUUUCGGCGGUUGGGGAUGGACUCGCGGCUUAUCAGCUUGUUGGUGGGGUAGUGGCUUACCAAGGCUUUGACGGGUAGCCGGCCUGAGAGGGUGACCGGCCACAUUGGGACUGAGAGACGGCCCAGACACCUACGGGAGGCAGCAGUGGGGAAUAUUGCACAAUGAGCGGAAGCCUGAUGCAGCAACGCCGCGUGCGGGAUGAAGGCCUUCGGGUUGUAAACCGCUUUCGCCUGUGACGAAGCGUGAGUGACGGUAAUGGGUAAAGAAGCACCGGCUAACUACGUG